CGUUACUGGCCUUCCCAACACCCUUCUUUCUUUGUUGCAGCAGAAGAUGGUACAGAAGCCUGAAUUCCAAGCCACCUCUUGGAGAUUUGCUUAUUUCUUUGGGUAUCUCCUAGUAUACAUAAGGACCUUACUUAAUGCUGGAAACGAGGUUCUACGGGGGACUCCGGUGUUUUUUCUCCUACUCUCCGAGGCCAACCAAGAUCUCUUCAGAUAUCUUCAGCUCAGCCCAAAGGAGAAGCUUUCAGGAGUUCCAGGACUUUCCCAAGGAUGAAAGCAGUUGCGUGGCUGAAAGGCAGCAGCCCAGAGCAAAGCGGAUGCUCUCUAGCGGGGGUCACAGCUGGUAAAGACUGAAAAUCCAGAUCCUAAAAUUCAACCAGACCUAUCAUACCAGCAG
Molecule: non-coding RNA, 394 nt
Organism: Saimiri boliviensis boliviensis (Bolivian squirrel monkey)
Lineage: Eukaryota; Metazoa; Chordata; Mammalia; Primates; Cebidae
Source: RefSeq, a predicted model, not a curated record